Molecule: non-coding RNA, 28 nt
Filed under: Homo sapiens (human)
Lineage: Eukaryota; Metazoa; Chordata; Mammalia; Primates; Hominidae
Source: RNAcentral
UUGUUGGAUUGAAGGAUGCCUAGAUAGC